GACGAACGCUGGCGGCGUGCUUAACACAUGCAAGUCGAACGAUGAAGAAGAGAAACGCGAACUUCGGUUCAAAUUUCACUUCGGAUUAGUGGCAGACGGGUGAGUAACGCGUGAGCAACCUACCUCUUACAAAGGGAUAGCCUCGGGAAACCGUGAUUAAUACCAUAUGACACAUUCAUAAGGCAUCUUAAGAAUGUUAAAGCUACGGCGGUAAGAGAUGGGCUCGCGUCCCAUUAGCUAGUUGGUGAGGUAACGGCCCACCAAGGCGACGAUGGGUAACCGGCCUGAGAGGGUGAACGGUCACAUUGGAACUGAGACACGGUCCAAACUCCUACGGGUGGCAGCAGUGGGGAAUAUUGCACAAUGGAGGGAACUCUGAUGCAGCGACGCCGCGUGAGCGAUGAAGGAAUUCGUUUCGUAAAGCUCUGUUCUAUGGGAAGAAAAGGACUGUACCAUAGGAGAAAGCCCCGGCUAAAUACGUG
RNAcentral lists this ribosomal RNA (482 nucleotides) under uncultured bacterium. RNAcentral's name for it is "partial 16S ribosomal RNA". It matches the Rfam family "Bacterial small subunit ribosomal RNA", at positions 28 to 507 of the family's 1533-position model. The record is from RNAcentral.